This 253-nucleotide ribosomal RNA is filed under the name uncultured bacterium. RNAcentral's name for it is "partial 16S ribosomal RNA". It matches the Rfam family "Bacterial small subunit ribosomal RNA", at positions 524 to 776 of the family's 1533-position model. The record is from RNAcentral.
UACGGGGGGGGCAAGCGUUGUUCGGAAUUACUGGGCGUAAAGGGCGCGUAGGCGGUUCGCUAAGUUGGAUGUGAAAACUCUGGGCUCAACCCAGAGCCUGCAUCCAAAACUGGCGGGCUAGAGUUCUGGAGGGGGUAGCGGAAUUCCUGGUGUAGCGGUGAAAUGCGUAGAUAUCAGGAGGAACACCGGUGGCGAAGGCGAGUCCCUGGACAACACCUGACACUGAGGCACGAAAGCUAGGGGAGCAAACAGG